Molecule: ribosomal RNA, 381 nt
Filed under: uncultured bacterium
Lineage: Bacteria
Description: bacterial SSU rRNA
Rfam family: Bacterial small subunit ribosomal RNA
Source: RNAcentral
CGGUAAUACGGAGGGGGCUAGCGUUGUUCGGAAAUACUGGGCGUAAAGCGCACGUAGGCGGCGAUUCAAGUCAGAGGUGAAAGCCCGGGGCUCAACCCCGGAACUGCCUUUGAAACUAGAUUGCUAGAAUCCUGGAGAGGUGAGUGGAAUUCCGAGUGUAGAGGUGAAAUUCGUAGAUAUUCGGAAGAACACCAGUGGCGAAGGCGACUCACUGGACAGGUAUUGACGCUGAGGUGCGAAAGCGUGGGGAGCAAACAGGAUUAGGUACCCUGGUAGUCCACGCCGUAAACGAUGAUAACUAGCUGUUCGGGUUCAUAGAACUUGAGUGGCGCAGCUAACGCAUUAAGUUAUCCGCCUGGGGAGUACGGUCGCAAGAUUAAA